AGUAGUUUGAUCAUGGCUCAGAUUGAACGCUGGCGGCAUGCUUUACACAUGCGAGUCGAACGGCAGCGACGGGGCAACCCUGGUGGCGAGUGGCGAACGGGUGAGUAAUAUAGUCGGAACGUACCCGGAAGUGGGGAUAACGUAGCGAAAGUUACGCUAAUACCGCAUAUGCCCUAAGGGGGAAAGCGGGGGAUUCGCAAGAACCUCGCGUUUUCGGAGCGGCCGAUAUCGGAUUAGCUAGUAGGUGAGGUAAAGGCUCACCUAGGCGACGAUCCGUAGCUGGUCUGAGAGGACGACCAGCCACACUGGAACUGAGACACGGUCCAGACUCCUACGGGAGGCAGCAGUGGGGAAUUUUGGGACAAUGGGCGCAAGCCUGAUCCAGCCAUGCCGCGUGAGUGAAGAAGGCCUUCGGGUUGUAAAGCUCUUUCAGCCGGAAAGAAAACGCACGGGUUAAUAACCUGUGUGGAUGACGGUACCGGAAGAAGAAGCACCGGCUAACUACGUG
RNAcentral lists this ribosomal RNA (508 nucleotides) under uncultured bacterium. Its description in RNAcentral is "bacterial SSU rRNA". It matches the Rfam family "Bacterial small subunit ribosomal RNA", at positions 1 to 507 of the family's 1533-position model. The record is from RNAcentral.